GACGAACGCUGGCGGCGUGCUUAACACAUGCAAGUCGAACGGAAAGGCCCUGCUUUUGUGGGGUGCUCGAGUGGCGAACGGGUGAGUAACACGUGAGUAACCUGCCCUUGACUUUGGGAUAACUUCAGGAAACUGGGGCUAAUACCGGAUAGGAGCUCCUGCUGCAUGGUGGGGGUUGGAAAGUUUCGGCGGUUGGGGAUGGACUCGCGGCUUAUCAGCUUGUUGGUGGGGUAGUGGCUUACCAAGGCUUUGACGGGUAGCCGGACUGAGCGGGUGACCGGCCACAUUGGGACUGAGAUACGGCCCAGACUCCUACGGGAGGCAGCAGUGGGGAAUAUUGCACAAUGGGCGGAAGCCUGAUGCAGCAACGCCGCGUGCGGGAUGACGGCCUUCGGGUUGUAAACCGCUUUCGCCUGUGACGAAGCGUGAGUGACGGUAAUGGGUAAAGAAGCACCGGCUAACUACGUG
RNAcentral lists this ribosomal RNA (468 nucleotides) under uncultured bacterium. RNAcentral describes it as "partial 16S ribosomal RNA". It matches the Rfam family "Bacterial small subunit ribosomal RNA", at positions 28 to 507 of the family's 1533-position model. The record is from RNAcentral.